Cricetulus griseus (Chinese hamster) is the source of this 179-nucleotide non-coding RNA. NCBI's taxonomy places the organism in Eukaryota, Metazoa, Chordata, Mammalia, Rodentia, Cricetidae. The record is from Rfam.
AGUGCUCUCUUUUUCGCUAAGAUCUAAUGUAAUGCCUGUUCUUAUCAGUUUAAUAUCUGAUACAUCCUUGUCAGUUUCUGUUUUUUUUUUAUUUAAAGAUAGAAACUAUCUUGCAAGAGCAGGCACUUCCCUCUCUGUCAGGCUUCCCAUGGCCUUCUGUGCUGAUGUGGUGCCCCGUA